CAGUCGUUCACCUGGAGCCGCCGCGCGGUUCACAGGAAUGAUUCCCAUUUUAUUGAUGAACGGCAGGAUGUUCCCUGUGCAGGAAGCAGAAACACAAAGAAAACAUUUGGACCCAUUUAGAAGAUCAUCGGCGUAAAGACGAAUCGGUUCUGAGGGCGAGCGGCGCUGCCAUCCAUUAUGGUGAUGAAGGCGAUGGUGAGGAUGAAGGCUCCGACAGGAGCUGCUUACCUGGGAGAGCAGCAGGCGGCCAUGUUGGGGAAGAUUCAGCAGCUCAACGCCUCGUUUCCACUCGUCAGCAGAACCGACAUGGAGGAGAGAAGGAGUCCUGAGGGAACCGGAGCAGGAAUCGGGUCAGAGUUCAUUUGUGAGAAAAACCUGCCAUGGUCAGAGGAGACAGCGAGGAGGCGUUCCCACGGCGACGCAGGAAAACGUUUCCACCCAAACCUCUGAAAUGUUGUGAUUAGUGUCAGACAUUUCUGAGCUACAGACGAGGGAAACGUCCAGAGAGACAAACUCAGGUGUUUUCAGGUUUCCUGUUCUUCGGGACCAAUCGUCUCCUCAAAGAACUGGAUCUGCUGUGAAUCAGGUGGCUCUACCCCGUGACCUCUGACCUCUGCCUGCAGUAGCAGUGAGAACGGACGGUUUCUGCUGCGUUCACAGAUGAGGAAGAUGAGGAAGAUGAGGCGCUAAUUAGAUCAGGCCGUUUUUACCUCAAAGCCUCCAGAAUGCAGUGAUUGAAUUAUUGCAGCUUCAGUCUGGACGAGACGAGAAGGCGGCUAAAUUUGGUUUCCUCUGAUUGGACUGAGUGGCCUCCUAUUACAGGACGAGGCCCGUCUGACCCCGACGUGUUUCCAUCCGACACCAGCAGCAUGAAUGACGGCCUUGUCUGCUCGACGCGUUCUCACAGGAAACGCUGCGCCGCCGUAACCUCGUUAGCACCUGGUGCUUCCUGUCCGCCGCCAGACCAGGCUGAUGGGGCUUCGCCGACCUUCGCUAACCUUCACUGGUGAUUCCAGGAGAUUCCAGGUGAUUCCAGACUCCUACGGGCUUCCGUAGUCUGCAGCGGCGGGCUGAGUGAUGUCUCCCCGGCUGGUAAUGAGUCUGCGGCGGGUUGGGCUCCGGAGUCAACAGCCGCGUUAACCCGCCGAUGAAACGCCGCGGAUCCGGAGAGAGACGCUCUGCUGCGGCCGUAACGAGCCGCGGCCUCCAUCGCUCACUCCUUAAUUAGCAGCGGGAUCCUCUACCCGCUAAUGGAGCCAACAUGGCGGAACAUCACGGCCCAGUUGGAGCGCUGCCGGGACGGAGCAGCUUCAUCAGCUGACGAGCGCAGCGGCAGGGGUCAAAGGUCAGCGUUAUGGCGUCUGAAGGCUCGGGGUGCCGUGACGGGGCGUGGCCAGGUGUCAUCUGGGUUUGAUGUGUGACGUGAGGCCGCACACUACAAGGUCAGAGGUCAAGGUGGAUGAAGAGGCAGAAUCAUCCUCAUCAGGUCAGGAGUGUGUGUGUGUGUGUGUGUGUGUGUGUGUGUGUGUGUGUUAGAGCUGGAGGAAAACUGGUGGUUGAGUGAUGAUCUGAAAUAAACAGUAAUACAUUAGAUUAUUCUAUUUAUUAUAUUUAUCUGUACCAUUUUUAUCAUCUACAGUGUAAAUAAGGAUUUCUGUAUUUAUUUCUCAGUUAUGAACCAUAAAAACUCACUAAAUGACAGCAUUCAUUUUAGUUUCUGUUUAUACGGAAGAGGAUUAGUGCCAAAAUGAGAAUUUAGAUUUUUAAUGUCAGACUUUUUUCCUAAUCUUCUUCCAUGUUUCAUAUAAUCUUAAUGUUAUUAGUUGUGUUUACUGUUUUUAUUUAGAAAGUUUAGGACAAACAGUUGGUAACGUCUAGUUUGAACAGACGACGUCAUGACUCUGCCACCACCGUGCUUCACGGCCGUUAGCUCCGUUAGCUCCGUUAGCUCAGUUAGCAGAGUGGUGCUGGUCCGUGUUGUGAUCCCAGGUCUGGAGUCAGAAUCUCUCCCAGCAUCCAGCCUGAUGCUCAGUGAUUUCCCGGCUGAAAGCAGCCGAGCGUGUUUUCACCACAACGAGCCUUCAGGCGGCGGCACAGACGCCGUCAGAGUCUGAACCAAUUACAGGACAAUUAGCCAGCUGGCUGUUAUGAAACACAGCAAUUAAUGUUUCCUUAAUAAGUCAGAUUCACAGCGAUUCCACAUCAUCGGCUAAUCACCGGGUAAUUACCGCCGCGGCGUCUCAGCGCCGGUUUGAUCCGACAAAUCUGGGUCUCAACAAACUCCUGGGCAUCAACAUCUGGAGCUGACGGCGCCACCAUCAGGCCGGCUGACUUAACGCUGCUGUCGGCAGCAGUUACUGUAAAACUGAAAAAGUUUUCCUCUCAGCAUUGAAAUUCAGAUGAAUUAAUCCUCCUGCAGGGAAAUUAAUCUGAUUUAAACAGAUUAUGAUGCAGAAACCAACAAACUGCUGCUGGGCUUGAAUAAAAUAUACAGAAAAUUAAAUAUUAAACCUAGACUAACGGAGGAAGUGAAUAUUUCAAAAGAAAAUCUAAAAUGGUUGUUUUUUUCUCAAUGAAAUGUUAUAAAAUGUAACACCUAAUGCAACAUAAAAUAAUAAAUACUCCAUAAGAAAAAUCAACAUAUUUAUAACAUUUCUGUGGAAAUUUUCUCAAUAAAUCCUUCACAGCAGAAAAUAUAAAAAUGCAGAUGAGCAGCCAGAAGAUGAAUGUGGAAAAGUACGGUGGCCUGGAGGCACAAGCAUGUAGGAGAGACAGAAAAGAUCCAGAUAUAAAGAAACACAAGAAAACAAAGUGCAGAAAAUGGAAGUUAAAAGUUAAUCCUCUUCUGUCCUCCAGGCCACCAGGGGGAGCCGAGCAACGACUCAAACCUCACAGGAGACGGGAUUUAAUAGGAAGUUCUGUUUCAAACCCGAAUCUCUAACAAUGUCACAGAGCAGCAGCGUGAAAACGUAGAUACUUCCUGCUCCAGACUCCCCCUGGUGGCCUGGAGGACUUCUGCUUUAGUGCAGAUUCUCUGCAGCGUUUAAAAACAAUCUGACGUCCGUGUCAAACUCGAGGUCUGGGGGCCAAAUCUGGCCCACCCCAAGUCUUUCUGUGGCCGUCUGGACCAAAUUAAUAAAACCUUUAUCAUAACAGUUAUCAAAUUAAUACAGUUUUUAUUUUAUAUAAAAAUAUUUGUUAUAGUAUUUAAUUUAAAUAAAUUUUCACUGGAUGCAAAGGAAGGUAUUUAUUCAUUUUUUAUUAAUUGUUAGUUUUAUCAAAACGUUCUGGAACAGAGAAACCUGUUGCUGCUUUCUGGUUGGCUGUACAGGAGGCUCCACUUCUGCUUUUCAAAGGUGUUUGGCCUGUGCUUCUGUUUGCAGCCAUUUUGUGUAAAUGUAGCAUUUAAAGUGACAGAGCUCCUAAAACGGGUCAGAACUGAAAUCUGAUCGCCUCAGGAUGGUUUAGUGAUGAAAUGUGAUCAAGGUUUUGUUUAGGCCACAGUCCGGUCCUGUCCGGUCCAGUUUAAGGAAGCAGAACGGGUCGGCGGCGUUACAGGAAGUAGACGUUUCCAUGCGGCUGCCGCAGCGUUCAGUGAGGUCAGCAGCAGCAGCGUCUCGGCUCAGUUUGAGCAGAAACAGGAAUUAUCCACAGAACCGAACAGAACCUGGGUCAUCAUCUGGAGCCGCCGGGCCGUCGGCCCCACUGGGACCACGACUGGAGCCAACGCAGCGUGGCGCCGUCUUGAUGCUGGCGGCCAUCUUUGCUCGUCUCAGGAAGCGGCGUUCACACUGUGGAUAAUCGGAUUAAGGUGGCGCCGUUUGUUCCGCUCCGUGAGCCCAGCUGGACCGAGACGCCGAGAGACAGAACAUCAGAGAUCGUCACAUCUGGUCUAAUCAAAGUCCUGAUCCGGGUCAUGUGACCUCCUGAGGCUCCGCCCACUGACAGGCAGAUCCUCAGGGACUUCAGUCAGGAAAUGGGUCAACGGCUCAGUGAGGUGGAAACACACACACACACACACACGCACACACACACCCACACACACACACACACACACC
Molecule: long non-coding RNA, 4058 nt
Organism: Xiphophorus maculatus (southern platyfish)
Lineage: Eukaryota; Metazoa; Chordata; Actinopteri; Cyprinodontiformes; Poeciliidae
Exons: 6
Source: RefSeq, a predicted model, not a curated record